Molecule: ribosomal RNA, 258 nt
Filed under: uncultured bacterium
Lineage: Bacteria
Description: partial 16S ribosomal RNA
Rfam family: Bacterial small subunit ribosomal RNA
Source: RNAcentral
GCAAGUCGAGCGCGAGCGUAAGGAGCUUGCUCCUUACAAUCGAGCGGCGGACGGGUGAGUAACACGUGUGCAACCUACCCUUUAGACUGGGAUAACUACCGGAAACGGUAGCUAAUACCGGAUAAGAUGGAUUACACAAGUAAUCUUAAUGAAAGUGGAUAUAUCUGUCAGUAAAGGAUGGGCAUGCGGUGCAUUAGCUAGUUGGUGAGGUAGUGGCUCACCAAGGCAACGAUGCAUAGCCGACCUGAGAGGGUGAUC